Molecule: ribosomal RNA, 522 nt
Filed under: uncultured bacterium
Lineage: Bacteria
Description: partial 16S ribosomal RNA
Rfam family: Bacterial small subunit ribosomal RNA
Source: RNAcentral
UGGGGAAUAUUGGACAAUGGGCGCAAGCCUGAUCCAGCCAUGCCGCGUGAGUGAUGAAGGCCUUAGGGUUGUAAAGCUCUUUCGCCGACGAAGAUAAUGACGGUAGUCGGAGAAGAAGCCCCGGCUAACUUCGUGCCAGCAGCCGCGGUAAUACGAAGGGGGCUAGCGUUGUUCGGAAUCACUGGGCGUAAAGCGCACGUAGGCGGAUUGUUAAGUCAGGGGUGAAAGCCUGGAGCUCAACUCCAGAACUGCCCUUGAUACUGGCAAUCUCGAGUCCGGAAGAGGUAAGUGGAACUGCGAGUGUAGAGGUGAAAUUCGUAGAUAUUCGCAAGAACACCAGUGGCGAAGGCGGCUUACUGGUCCGGUACUGACGCUGAGGUGCGAAAAGCGUGGGGAGCAAAACAGGAUUAGAUACCCUGGUAGUCCACGCCGUAAACGAUGGAGGCUAGCCGUUGGCGAGCAUGCUCGUCAGUGGCGCAGCUAACGCAUUAAGCCUCCCGCCUGGGGAGUACGGUCGCAAGA